This 1131-nucleotide unclassified non-coding RNA is filed under the name Hevea brasiliensis (rubber tree). Lineage: Eukaryota; Viridiplantae; Streptophyta; Magnoliopsida; Malpighiales; Euphorbiaceae. The record is from RNAcentral.
CCCAUCUUCGCGAGGUCUAAAACUAAUCAUCAUGCUCAGGUCCUUUGCAGUUGCAGCAAUCAAGUAAUUCCUCACAAUCUUCAUGCUUUCGUCAUUCGAGAUUGAAUGCAAAGAACUGUAUCUUUCUGACAAUUGAUCUUCAGCUGAUAGUUUAUUGCAUACCGCGCAUGGUUGGGAAAUGACAUUGUAAUAUGCAUGAAUUGCACCUUCAAUGUCAGCAUUGUCUAACUUCUGGACUUCAAGAACCUUAUUUAGCAGUCCUGAACUAAAAAUGGUCUUGGAAAUGAGAUCUAGGAAGCAUUGGGUCCGCUGUCCAUCUACAGCUUGAAUUACACACUUCAGUGCAUUUUCAAAUGUUUCACCAACUUCACAGCUUGUAGCGUCUGCAUUACCACCUAAACCCCCUAAUAUGAGAGAACCAUUCAGGAAAACUCGGAAAUUGUUCUGUGGGGUCUCGAAAAGGCCCUUUAUUGCUUUGUGUACCCUAUCACUGGAUCCAGAAAACAAAUCCAAUGGAUCAUAUGCACUUAUCUCUGAUAUCUUUCCUUGGUGCAAUUUUAAAGCCUGAUGCAUCUUGAAACGAGUUACAGUCCUUUUAAUACUGUUCUCUGAUGCAAUAAAUUCUGAAAGCGGAAGAAAUCCGCAUUUAGGCUUUAUUUCAACAGAUAUACAGAAGUCUUCUUUAAGUGCACCACGCGGGAAAAGCGAAUGAUCAGAUAUCAGCAGUACAGAAUCACACAGGGGGUUGACCAUAGCGGCAUCAACACGCCAAGAAGGACGCUGACAUAGAACAUUGUUAUCAACUGUUUCCAGAAAUUCUCGGGUCACAGGGAUGUAAAUCCCUGCAUCAACAUUCUUCGAACCUAACAGCGAGCACAUCACAUGCUGCACAAAACAGUAUUCAGCCAUUUCUUUUGUAGGAGCUGAUACCAGCUCUUCGAAUUCUUUCCACAUGAGGCGUUCCAACUCGGUUAGACCUGGAUGACCAUUCUCGCGUUGAGAUCCAUUCUUUGGUACCUUCUGUACCCGCAACACUUUUCCAACAAAAUCAGGAUGUUCUCCACUAUAAGCAAGCACUAGAUUGACAGCUCCUUCUCCUCUAUAACACCAUUCUCGAGCAUCAUUCGCCUG